UGGUGGAGAGAGAGAGAGAGAGAGAGAGAGUGAGAUAGAAAGAGAGGGAGAGAGAGGGAGGCAUGUUGUACAUUAACAAACAGAGUAGGUUUUAAAGCACAGUUGCUUUAAGACAGCAGCUUAGGGGCACAGCCUUAGGGUUCUCCUGGUUCUGAUUCUGCUAACUAAUAUAUAAAUGGACUUACCUUGGAGUAUUGGAAAAGCAGUAAACUUAGAAGAAGGAAGGCACAGUUCCUGACAUGGCCACUCAUCCUCUCUGAAUCUCAUGCAAGUAUAUCAACCUUCUCCUUACUGAGCCUUCAUUCCUACUCCCAGAGAAGUCCAACAGCUCAUACAUGACCCAGAAGAAGAUCUGGUCCUUCAAGAAGCAAGAAAGAAGACAAACAGAUGAAUGACAAAGACAACCAGG
Cercocebus atys (sooty mangabey) is the source of this 409-nucleotide long non-coding RNA. RefSeq lists it as uncharacterized. NCBI's taxonomy places the organism in Eukaryota, Metazoa, Chordata, Mammalia, Primates, Cercopithecidae. The record is from RefSeq and is a predicted model, not a curated record. The transcript has 3 exons.